Molecule: long non-coding RNA, 1239 nt
Filed under: Olea europaea subsp. europaea
Lineage: Eukaryota; Viridiplantae; Streptophyta; Magnoliopsida; Lamiales; Oleaceae
Source: RNAcentral
GAAAUUUAUAUACCUUAUCUAAAUUUUCAGAUGCAAUCCCAGUAAAAUCAUGAAGAACACAAACUGCAGUCCACUAAUAUUAACACUAACAUCGUUCACAUAGCGACUGAAACAUCAAAAGUGACUACAUUACAAUGAUUUCUUCACAUAACACAACACAUAUUACACAUCAACUUCACAUAAUACAACACAUAUUGCACAUCAAAGGUGGUAGUGAUGCAUCCCAAGAAAUAUAACCAGUAAUCAUGCCGGCCCCUUCUUAUCCACUCCCACACUUCCAAUGGCAUUUCUUAUUGUCACAUUCAAAGAAAUCUCAAUGUUUUGUUCUCCAGUUACCUGACAAAGGGAAUGGAACAUGCGAGAGAACUGCUGGACUUCUUCAAAUGCCUCAUGAUUAUUCGAGUUAACGACAAUAAUACUCGAUCUACAGCUUGAUUCUCCACCCAUUCCCAGUAUUUACAGUUAGCAUUGUAGCAACUGAACGAUUUUCCCUUUUUCUUCAUCUCCCCCUCAACCUCAAAGCACUUCACAAAUCCAAUUUUACACCAGGGGCAUCGUCGUUUCUCUGGGUAAUCGCAAAGAAUUGCCCCUUCUCUCUACAGCUAUGACAAGGUCCAAAAUUCUUUUCUGUCAUACUACAUACAAAUGAAAAAUAGGUUGCACUAUAUUAGACAACAACCACACACCAAUGUAAAAUCCACAAAUUUGCAAAACCCAUACUCUAUUUUUUUCCUACCAACGUUGUUUGACAAAAAUUUCUAUUAAUUCAAAACAUCACUUAUUCGUUCAUAAUACAUCUAAACUACUAAUGAGUACUAUCAAAUUGGAUGAAUUUUAAAAAUCUUUGAUGUAGUCGGGAUGAGGGUGAGAUUUUUUCCUACAAAGAAUGUCGGGUUGCGUUCAUUGAAACUGAAAUUAGUCGACCACGGUAGCAAGCGAUGAACAAAUAUCAUGCUUACAUAAUAUUUGCUCAAGAUUUCAUCGGAGGCGAUGGCAUCGGCGACAAACGAUCUUGCUGUACACGGUCAACUUCUCUCUUGCAGCUACAAAUUUUUUUUGCCAACCGUCCGAUUGACCGACAGAUGAUCUCUAGGAUAAGCACGGGCUUCUUAAUAAGGUCAGAACGAAGGACUGCAAUUUCAGUUCUCCUAGAAUGGUUGUUUUGCCUCUUGGCGGUUUUUUCUGUGUUUGGGGGGUAAACGAAAGUGAAAAACUGGUCCGGGUUUUAUUUGUUUUGGG